UACGUAGGGUGCGAGCGUUAAUCGGAAUUACUGGGCGUAAAGGGUGCGCAGGCGGUUCUGUAAGUCAGAUGUGAAAUCCCCGGGCUUAACCUGGGAACUGCGCUUGAAACUACAGAGCUAGACAGUGGCAGAGGGGGGUGGCAUUCCAUGUGUAGCAGUGAAAUGCGUAGAGAUAUGGAAGAACAUCGAUGGCGAAGGCAGCCCCCUGGGUCAACACUGACGCUCAUGCACGAAAGCGUGGGGAGCAAACAGGAUUAGAUACCCUGGUAGUCCACGCCCUAAACUAUGUCAACUAGUUGUCGGGCCUUAUUAGGUUUGGUAACGUAGCUAACGCGUGAAGUUGACCGCCUGGGGAGUACGGUCGCAAGAUUAAAACUCAAAUGAAUUGACGG
RNAcentral lists this ribosomal RNA (392 nucleotides) under uncultured bacterium. RNAcentral's name for it is "bacterial SSU rRNA". It matches the Rfam family "Bacterial small subunit ribosomal RNA", at positions 524 to 916 of the family's 1533-position model. The record is from RNAcentral.